UGGACUCGCGCUAUAAACAAAGGUGAUCCAAAUGUUUCUGGUUAGAAAUAAGAUUAUACACACUGGUGAAAGAAUAUGACAGCGAGAUAGGACUAUGAUAGACUGAAGAUACACAGGCCAUUAGAUACACCUCCAUAGUUGAUUCAAUAUCUCUUUCUCAACAUGUCAAGGGAAAAUUCAGACAGCCGAGAAGGCUCUAUGAGCACCUCCGACAGUGACGGGCAACGAGAGAAUAAAUUGUCACCUGCUUUCCAAGAACACUUACGCGAGGUGGCAGAGAGACUGCGUACAAUAGGAGAUGACCUGGAUAAAGAGAUGACACUGUCUCAUAAAAUUCGAUGGACAAAUUUCUUCGCUGACUGGCGUUGUAUUUUUUACCUCGAGGACAAGACUGUGUUGUUCAAGCACAUAUUACGGGUGUAUAUUCAAUUUAUGUUCAGAUGAUGUAAUCCCAUUGGAAUUCAGGUUAACUCUAAUUGGGGACAUGGGGUCAGGCUGCGAGUUGGCACACUGUCAACAGGACACUUCUACAACUAAUCUAACAUGACAAUUGACAAUCAGUGCUGCAAUAAAAUCCCGAGGGAAAAAAACGUACUGCAAGUGGUGUGGUGAAAAAAGAAAUUAGUGCUACGCUGUCUCUCCAAGUCAAAGGAUCUGACAGUCCGGUCACGACAUUAAAACCAAUUCGCAAUUCACCUGUUGGAAUAAUAGUGUUGUCGUUUGGCAAACAGCCCAUUUUGUCAAGAGGCUCGUUUUGAUAAACUUUCUAUCGAGGAGGUGCGUUCAUUUCCCAGGGCCGCAAGACUGUCAAAAUAGUCCUUGUUGAACUUGACAGUAUUUUCACAAUGAUCUCGAAUAGCAUGAUAUAUAUUGCUAUUCAUUAUUCGUUUGGUCUCACUGGAUGAAGACAGUAUAUAAGAACUGAAUUUUAUACGUAAACUUUUGUUUGGUGCAGCCCAAAGUUCAUUUAUUGUGUAAUAUUUACUUUAGAAGCCAGUGCAGGCGGAACUAGGUCGAACUUGGUUUACCUGCGUUUUGUUUUGUAAAGUCGCUUUCGCAACUUAACGAACCCACAUGGGCAUGUAAAUAGCUAUACAGUCUAGUCUAGUCUAUGGCAUCACUUUUCAUGUCGUAGCAUUUAUUCGUUGUACAAAGUAUAAAAUAAUUUCUUGUCAGAAUUAUGAUUCUUUUUAUGUUAAACUGUUAUCAGAAAAAUGAAAAUUGUUUAUAGAUUCACGCGAUCUCAUUUUUUACGAAACUGAAAAUUGGUGCAAUAUUUAUUUUCACUGUAAAAGAAUUUAAAUAUAUUAUUAAAGUGACUUUUGUUUAA
Long non-coding RNA from Lingula anatina, 1330 nucleotides. RefSeq lists it as uncharacterized. Lineage: Eukaryota; Metazoa; Brachiopoda; Lingulata; Lingulida; Lingulidae. The record is from RefSeq and is a predicted model, not a curated record.